GUAAGGAAUAUUGGACAAUGGACGCAAGUCUGAUCCAGCCAUGCCGCGUGAAGGAUUAAGGUCCUCUGGAUUGUAAACUUCUUUUAUAAGGGACGAAAAAAGGCUUUUCUAAGUCGUCUGACGGUACCUUAUGAAUAAGCACCGGCUAACUCCGUGCCAGCAGCCGCGGUAAUACGGAGGGUGCAAGCGUUAUCCGGAUUCACUGGGUUUAAAGGGUGCGUAGGCGGGCAGGUAAGUCAGUGGUGAAAUCCUAGAGCUUAACUCUAGAACUGCCAUUGAUACUAUCUGUCUUGAAUAUUGUGGAGGUAAGCGGAAUAUGUCAUGUAGCGGUGAAAUGCUUAGAUAUGACAUAGAACACCUAUUGCGAAGGCAGCUUACUACGCAUAUAUUGACGCUGAGGCACGAAAGCGUGGGGAGCAAACAGGAUUAGAUACCCCUGUAGUCC
Molecule: ribosomal RNA, 445 nt
Filed under: uncultured bacterium
Lineage: Bacteria
Description: partial 16S ribosomal RNA
Rfam family: Bacterial small subunit ribosomal RNA
Source: RNAcentral